GACGAACGCUGGCGGCGUGCCUAAUACAUGCAAGUCGAGCGCAGGAAGCUGACGGAACUCUUCGGAGGGAAGGCAGUGGAAUGAGCGGCGGACGGGUGAGUAACACGUAAGGAACCUGCCUCAAGGAUUGGGAUAACUCCGAGAAAUCGGAGCUAAUACCGGAUAGUUCAACGGACCGCAUGGUCCGCUGAUGAAAGGCGCUCCGGCGUCACCUUGAGAUGGCCUUGCGGUGAAUUAGCUAGUUGGUGGGGUAACGGCCCACCAAGGCGACGAUGCAUAGCCGACCUGAGAGGGUGAUCGGCCACACUGGGACUGAGACACGGCCCAGACUCCUACGGGAGGCAGCAGUAGGGAAUCUUCCACAAUGGACGAAAGUCUGAUGGAGCAACGCCGCGUGAGUGAUGAAGGUUUUCGGAUCGUAAAACUCUGUUGUAAGGGAAGAACACGUACGAGAGGGAAUGCUCGUACCUUGACGGUACCUUACGAGAAAGCCACGGCUAACUACGUGCCAGCAGCCGCAGUAA
Molecule: ribosomal RNA, 524 nt
Filed under: uncultured bacterium
Lineage: Bacteria
Description: partial 16S ribosomal RNA
Rfam family: Bacterial small subunit ribosomal RNA
Source: RNAcentral